AGCGCAUAGUGGCGAACGGGUGAGUAACGCGUAGGUGACCUGCCCCAAAAUGGAGGAUAACAGGACGAAAGUCUUGCUAAUACUGCGUAAUCUUUAUCUAGUUAGAGAGGAUAAAGGAAAGCCGUAAGGCGUUUAGGGAGGGGCCUGCGACCCAUCAGCUAGUUGGUAGGGUAAAAGCCUACCAAGGCAACGACGGGUAGGGGGCCUGAGAGGGUGAUCCCCCACACUGGCACUGAAACACGGGCCAGACACCUACGGGUGGCAGCAGUAGGGAAUAUUGCACAAUGGGCGAAAGCCUGAUGCAGCAACGCCGCGUGCACGAUGAAGGCCUUCGGGUCGUAAAGUGCUUUUCUGUAGGAAGAGAGAGGACUGUACUGCAGGAAUAAGGAUCGGCUAACUACGUGCCAGCAGCCGCGGUAACACGUAGGAUCCGAGCGUUAUCCGAAUUCACUGGGCGUAAAGCGCUUGCAGGCGGCAAGGUAAGUUGGAUGUAAAAUCUUCUGGCUCAACUGGGAGAUGCCGUUCAAGACUGCCUGGCUAGAGGGCGAUAGAGGGAGGUGGAAUUCCCGGUGUAGUGGUGAAAUGCGUAGAUAUCGGGAGGAACACCAGAGGCGAAAGCGGCCUCCUGGAUCGCAACUGACGCUGAGAAGCGAAAGCUAGGGGAGCAAACGGGAUUAGAAACCCCGGUAGUCCUAGCUGUAAACGAUGUAGACUAGGUGUUGGUGGAGUAAAAUCUAUCAG
This 741-nucleotide ribosomal RNA is filed under the name uncultured Chloroflexota bacterium. RNAcentral's name for it is "bacterial SSU rRNA". It matches the Rfam family "Bacterial small subunit ribosomal RNA", at positions 87 to 843 of the family's 1533-position model. The record is from RNAcentral. Lineage: Bacteria; Bacillati; Chloroflexota.